Long non-coding RNA from Nicotiana attenuata, 800 nucleotides. RefSeq lists it as uncharacterized. The record is from RefSeq and is a predicted model, not a curated record. NCBI's taxonomy places the organism in Eukaryota, Viridiplantae, Streptophyta, Magnoliopsida, Solanales, Solanaceae. The transcript is spliced from 3 exons.
AAAACGAAAAAUUUCCUCUUUUAUUUUUCACUUUGGCUCUAGGUUUUCUCCGUUCAAUUACCCAAUUACAAUUGAAACCUUUGUUUGGUAUCUCUCUUCGUUAAGCAUGUUAAAUCUAGAUUACUUCUGGAGGUUGAUUUAUCUCCUAUUUUGUUAAUGUAUUCACAUUGAAGAAUAAUUUAGGAAUUCAACCAAUCACCUCGGAUUCUUUAUAAUCUUAUUUAUUUAGGGGCUUUUGUUCUUCUUUUUGUCUUUUUGAGCAGAUUUUAAUCAUCCAAAGUCCAUCGAAGAUAUGUACAAAGCAGUUACGCUACUUUCUACUCCAAGCUCCAAUAAAUGUGUUUUCUUAUUCAACACUUUGGGGGUCAACUGCCACCUAGUUUUCCCAACUCUCGAGUCAAUCAGGUGCAUAUUCAACUUGAAACAAGGAAGGUUGUGGAAAAGCUAGAAUAAAGGUAUUGAGAAAUAAAGAAGUCUUUGGGAGAAAAGAUGAUACCAGAGAUCCUAGUUGGUAAAUGGAGGUCAGUCAAGGCGAUUCCAUCAGCAAAGCUAUCCAAUGAGUUGGGAAUGACUCUUCAAAAAUUUCUGUCACUUCCAAACAAAUGGAAAGAACUCACAAGAGAGGAGAAAGAUGCAAUAUUGGUUAAAUUACAUUGUACAUUUUUAGACAAUCGCAUUUUCCUAGAAUUGCCUUAUCAAUAGUAUAAUAUAUUCUUUGACGACAUAUUAUCUUUGUAUUUUUUGACUAUUGUAACUGUCACUAAUCAUGAUGAUUUAUAGUAACAUUUUUGUUGUCAGUA